Molecule: non-coding RNA, 442 nt
Organism: Chelonoidis abingdonii (Abingdon island giant tortoise)
Lineage: Eukaryota; Metazoa; Chordata; Testudines; Testudinidae
Source: RefSeq, a predicted model, not a curated record
GAAACCCCAAUAGGAACACUGCUGAAAUGCACACGCUCUGCAGCUUCACCUGGGAGGUUUCUCAGCUGCGCAUAGGAGGCAGUGUUUCCAGUGGGUAGGUCAGGGUUCAGCAGACCUGGGCUCUAAUCCUGACUGUACACUGGUUUGAUGGUCGACCUUGGACAGUAUCGGAGGGGUAGCCGUGUUACUCUGGAUCUGUAAAAAGCAACAACCUUGGACAAAUCACUUUCCUGCCCCGUGCCUCAGUUUCCCCAUCUGUAAAAAGGGGAUAACGCUACUGACCUCCUUCAUAAAGCAGCCCUAGAGCUGCUGAUGAACAGUGCUCUAUAAGGGCUGUAAUAUAUGUAAAAACAGCCACACUAGGUCAGGCCAAAAGUCCAUCUAGCCCAGUAUCCUGUCUUCUGACAGGGGCCAGUGCCAGGUGUCCCAGAGGGAAUGAACU